GACGAACGCUGGCGGCGUGCUUAACACAUGCAAGUCGAACGGAAAGGCCCUGCUUUUGUGGGGUGCUCGAGUGGCGAACGGGUGAGUAACACGUGAGUAACCUGCCCUUGACUUUGGGAUAACUUCAGGAAACUGGGGCUAAUACCGGAUAGGAGCUCCUGCUGCAUGGUGGGGGUUGGAAAGUUUCGGCGGUUGGGGAUGGACUCGCGGCUUAUCAGCUUGUUGGUGGGGUAGUGGCUUACCAAGGCUUUGACGGGUAGCCGGCCUGAGAGGGUGACCGGCCACAUUGGGACUGCGAUACGGCCCAGACUGCUACGGGAGGCAGCAGUGGGGAAUAUUGCACAAUGGGCGGAAGCCUGAUGCGGCGACGCCGCGUGCGGGAUGACGGCCUUCGGGUUGUAAACCGCUUUCGCCUGUGACGAAGCGUGAGUGACGGUAAUGGGUAAAGAAGCACCGGCUAACUACGUG
Molecule: ribosomal RNA, 468 nt
Filed under: uncultured bacterium
Lineage: Bacteria
Description: partial 16S ribosomal RNA
Rfam family: Bacterial small subunit ribosomal RNA
Source: RNAcentral